UGUGACUGCGUACCUUUUGUAUAAUGGGUCAGCGACUUAUAUUCUGUAGCAAGGUUAACCGUAUAGGGGAGCCGGAGGGAAACCGAGUCUUAACCGGGCGUUAAGUUGCAGGGUAUAGACCCGAAACCCGGUGAUCUAGCCAUGGGCAGGUUGAAGGUUGGGUAACACUAACUGGAGGACCGAACCGACUAAUGUUGAAAAAUUAGCGGAUGACCUGUGGCUGGGGGUGAAAGGCCAAUCAAACCGGGAGAUAGCUGGUUCUCCCCGAAAGCUAUUUAGGUAGCGCCUCGUGAAUUCAUCUCCGGGGGUAGAGCACUGUUUCGGCUAGGGGGCCAUCCCGGCUUACCAACCCGAUGCAAACUGCGAAUACCGGAGAAUGUUAUCACGGGAGACACACGGCGGGUGCUAACGUCCGUCGUGAAGAGGGAAACAACCCAGACCGCCAGCUAAGGUCCCAAAGUCAUGGUUAAGUGGGAAACGAUGUGGGAAGGCCCAGACAGCCAGGAUGUUGGCUUAGAAGCAGCCAUCAUUUAAAGAAAGCGUAAUAGCUCACUGGUCGAGUCGGCCUGCGCGGAAGAUGUAACGGGGCUAAACCAUGCACCGAAGCUGCGGCAGCGAACGUAUCACCCAAGACAACUUUACGGAGUUGACGAUUGACGGAGCGAAGCGACGUCAAAGCGUUCAUUAAAGUCGAGUUGGCUUAGGGAUACGUUCGUUGGGUAGGGGAGCGUUCUGUAAGCCUGUGAAGGUGUGUCGUGAGGCAUGCUGGAGGUAUCAGAAGUGCGAAUGCUGACAUAAGUAACGAUAAAGCGGGUGAAAAGCCCGCUCGCCGGAAGACCAAGGGUUCCUGUCCAACGUUAAUCGGGGCAGGGUGAGUCGACCCCUAAGGCGAGGCCGAAAGGCGUAGUCGAUGGGAAACGGGUUAAUAUUCCCGUACUUGGUGUUACUGCGAAGGGGGGACGGAGAAGGCUAUGUUGGCCGGGCGACGGUUGUCCCGGUUUAAGCGUGUAGGUGUGUGUUCCAGGUAAAUCCGGUUCACUUUAACACUGAGGCGUGACGACGAGGCACUACGGUGCUGAAGCAACAAAUGCCCUGCUUCCAGGAAAAGCCUCUAAGCAUCAGGUAACACGAAAUCGUACCCCAAACCGACACAGGUGGUCAGGUAGAGAAUACCAAGGCGCUUGAGAGAACUCGGGUGAAGGAACUAGGCAAAAUGGUGCCGUAACUUCGGGAGAAGGCACGCUGACACGUAGGUGAAGUGAUUUACUCAUGGAGCUGAAGUCAGUCGAAGAUACCAGCUGGCUGCAACUGUUUAUUAAAAACACAGCACUGUGCAAACACGAAAGUGGACGUAUACGGUGUGACGCCUGCCCGGUGCCGGAA
This 1383-nucleotide ribosomal RNA is filed under the name Salmonella enterica subsp. enterica serovar Typhimurium. RNAcentral describes it as "partial 23S ribosomal RNA". It matches the Rfam family "Bacterial large subunit ribosomal RNA", at positions 592 to 1874 of the family's 2925-position model. The record is from RNAcentral. Lineage: Bacteria; Pseudomonadati; Pseudomonadota; Gammaproteobacteria; Enterobacterales; Enterobacteriaceae.